UACAGGGGGUGCAACCGUUGCUCGGAAUUAUUGGGCGUAAAGCGCGCGUAGGCGGCUACCUAAGUCGGAUGUGAAAGCCCCUGGCUUAACCGGGGAAGUGCACCCGAAACUGGGUAGCUAGAGUGCAAAAGAGGGUCGCGGAAUUCCCGGUGUAGAGGUGAAAUUCGUAGAUAUCGGGAGGAACACCGGUGGCGAAGGCGGCGACCUGGGUUGACACUGACGCUGAGGCGCGAAAGCGUGGGGAGCAAACAGG
RNAcentral lists this ribosomal RNA (253 nucleotides) under uncultured bacterium. RNAcentral's name for it is "partial 16S ribosomal RNA". It matches the Rfam family "Bacterial small subunit ribosomal RNA", at positions 524 to 776 of the family's 1533-position model. The record is from RNAcentral.